AGAAAUGGGGAGUAAAGUUGGAAUAUAAUGUUGUCUUUCUUCAGCUUAUGAUACACAGCACCUGUAAGGAUUCUUUGAAGAUUAAUCCAACCAAUUCCUGUUCCUCCACUGAAAUGGGAGUUUUUGGUCCUUUUCACUUGUCUCAACAGCAUGAAUUGUCCUAUUAUCCUGUGAUUUCCUAGGAACUUGGACCCCGAUUGGCUGCAAUGCUGAACUUUAAUCUUCAGCAACUCUGUGGCCCCAAGUGCCGUGACCUGAAAGUUGAAAACCCUGAGAAAUACGGCUUUGAACCAAAGAAGCUGUUGGACCAACUGACGGAUAUUUACUUACAGCUGGACUGCGCUCGGUUCGCGAAAGCCAUUGCUGACGACCAGAGAUCCUACAGUAAGGAAUUGUUUGAAGAAGUUAUUUCAAAGAUGCGGAAGGCAGGGAUCAAAUCCACAAUAGCGAUAGAAAAAUUUAAGCUGCUCGCCGAGAAAGUAGAGGAGAUAGUGGCCAAGAAUGCACGCGCAGAAAUCGACUACAGCGACGCUCCUGAUGAGUUCAGAGACCCUCUGAUGGACACCCUCAUGACAGACCCCGUGCGGCUGCCCUCCGGCACCAUCAUGGACCGCUCCAUCAUCCUGCGGCACCUGCUCAACUCCCCCACGGACCCCUUCAACCGGCAGACGCUGACAGAGAGCAUGCUGGAACCAGUGCCAGAACUGAAAGAGCAGAUUCAGGCGUGGAUGAGAGAGAAACAGAACAGCGAUCACUAAACCGUUCCGCCGCCCACCCUCUGCUAGACACAGCCAAGGCCAACAAGGCAAGCAGAAGCA
Molecule: small RNA, 818 nt
Filed under: Pongo abelii (Sumatran orangutan)
Lineage: Eukaryota; Metazoa; Chordata; Mammalia; Primates; Hominidae
Description: retained intron
Source: RNAcentral